Molecule: ribosomal RNA, 440 nt
Filed under: uncultured bacterium
Lineage: Bacteria
Description: partial 16S ribosomal RNA
Rfam family: Bacterial small subunit ribosomal RNA
Source: RNAcentral
CCUACGGGAGGCUGCAGUAGGGAAUAUUGCUCAAUGGGGGAAACCCUGAAGCAGCAACGCCGCGUGGAGGAUGAAGGUUUUCGGAUUGUAAACUCCUUUUGUUAGAGAAGAUAAUGACGGUAUCUAACGAAUAAGCACCGGCUAACUCCGUGCCAGCAGCCGCGGUAAUACGGAGGGUGCAAGCGUUACUCGGAAUCACUGGGCGUAAAGAGCGCGUAGGCGGGAUAGCAAGUCAGAUGUGAAAUCCUAGGGCUUAACCAUAGAACUGCAUUUGAAACUGUUAUUCUAGAGUAUGGGAGAGGUAGGUGGAAUUCUUGGUGUAGGGGUAAAAUCCGUAGAGAUCAAGAAGAAUACUCAUUGCGAAGGCGACCUGCUAGAACAUAACUGACGCUGAUGCGCGAAAGCGUGGGGAGCAAACAGGAUUAGAUACCCCUGUAGUC